GGAGGAGUAGCGAAGUGGCUAAACGCGACGGUCUGUAAAAUCGUUCUCUCUGAGUUCGGCGGUUCGAAUCCACCCUCCUCCA
This is a transfer RNA of Lactobacillus pasteurii, 82 nucleotides long. It matches the Rfam family "tRNA". From Rfam's summary of the family: Transfer RNA (tRNA) molecules are approximately 80 nucleotides in length. Their secondary structure includes four short double-helical elements and three loops (D, anti-codon, and T loops). The record is from Rfam. NCBI's taxonomy places the organism in Bacteria, Bacillati, Bacillota, Bacilli, Lactobacillales, Lactobacillaceae.